CACGUAGGGUGCGAGCGUUGUCCGGAAUUAUUGGGCGUAAAGAGCUCGUAGGCGGUGUGUCGCGUCGGCCGUGAAAACCUGCAGCUUAACUGUGGGCUUGCGGUCGAUACGGGCAUCACUGGAGUUCGGCAGGGGAGACUGGAAUUCCUGGUGUAGCGGUGAAAUGCGCAGAUAUCAGGAGGAACACCGGUGGCGAAGGCGGGACUCUGGGCCGAUACUGACGCUGAGGAGCGAAAGCGUGGGGAGCGAACAGG
This 254-nucleotide ribosomal RNA is filed under the name uncultured bacterium. RNAcentral's name for it is "partial 16S ribosomal RNA". It matches the Rfam family "Bacterial small subunit ribosomal RNA", at positions 524 to 776 of the family's 1533-position model. The record is from RNAcentral.